UACAGAGGGUGCAAGCGUUGUUCGGAAUUAUUGGGCGUAAAGCGCGCGCAGGCGGUUUCUUAAGUCUGAUGUGAAAGCCCACGGCUUAACCGUGGAAGGUCAUUGGAAACUGGGAGACUUGAGUGCAGAAGAGAAGAGCGGAAUUCCACGUGUAGCGGUGAAAUGCGUAGAGAUGUGGAGGAACACCAGUGGCGAAGGCGGCUCUUUGGUCUGUAACUGACGCUGAGGCGCGAAAGCGUGGGGAUCAAACAGG
RNAcentral lists this ribosomal RNA (253 nucleotides) under uncultured bacterium. RNAcentral describes it as "partial 16S ribosomal RNA". It matches the Rfam family "Bacterial small subunit ribosomal RNA", at positions 524 to 776 of the family's 1533-position model. The record is from RNAcentral.